CCCACUCUGUGAUCCUAUGGUCCCAUAAUCACCUCCCCCUGCCCAGCACCCCUAUGUCCCUCCCACACCCUGGAGCACCCCCCCCCCCCCCUCAGCGCUGAAUCCUGAACACAGCAUCACCCAUCCUCUCUAUCCAGCACCCCCCAUCCCAUCUCAUCACCCCGACCCUGCAUCAUGACCCUCCCCCUCCCCCCCCCAGCCUCGGAAUGCAAUGUGCUGAGACCUGGGGGGGGCGAGGGGCCAAAGUGGGGGGGUGAAGAAGAAGCAGAAUGGGAUGGGGAGGGCUCCCUGCUUCACAGGGCUCCACUACCCUAUAAGAAGCAGCUGGGGUGUGGAGUAUUGGGGCAGGAAUGGGGGGGCUGGUGUAGGCCCCCACCCCAUUUGCCCUCAGCUGGAGGGAUUGUGGUGGGGGGCUGCAAUAGGGCAGGACAGCAGAGGGGAGCUGUGAGGGCUCAAACUGAGGGGGGAGUAGGAAGUGCUUUGCCCCCCACACAGCCCAUGGGCCCAGAGGUGACAGAGCCCCCCCCAGAGAGCUGGGGUGCUCAGCGCUGUCUCCCUGGAACUGUAACUUUUCUUCCUUGUUCCCACUGUGGGUACAGAUGUGGGGGGAAUGACACCCCAUAGGGUCACCCCAUAUGUGCCGAGGAUGCUGGCACACCCCAGGUCGGAGCACAGCUGAGCAUCCCCAUGCGGGGGCUGGGGGGGGGGGGGGGCGGCUGUCAUCUCCUUGGGGACUCUGCACUAUAGCAAUGGAUUUUGGUGAUGUAACCCCAAAAUAAUGUGGGUUGCGCUGAGCUUGGCCCAAAUCCUGCCCUGUCACCCUCACUGCUGUCACCACGGGCAUCCUGCCCGCAGCAUGCCCCCCCCACCCCCAGCACCCCCCCCCUCAGGCCUGGCCUCCUUUCCUCCUGCAUCAUCCACGUCAAUUGCGGUGAGGGGUCCUGAGCACCCUCCUGCCCCAAAUCAAGUAGGGAAUGGAGGAGGGAUGGGGGGAGCUGGCCCUGUUUGGGCUGUGGGGGGGGGCAGUGCCCUCGGGGGAGCAGGGCCGGGCUGUGCUGUUGGCUCGGGGUGACCUUGGAUGAGCGGUGCCAUCCCCUCUGCCUCAAUUUCCCCUCUACCCAGAGCACAGCUGGGGGGGGGGUGGGGUGGGGGGCAGGUAGACAACACCCCCCACACCACCUUCCUGCAGCUGUAGCUCAAGGAGAUGCGGACAAAGCAGGCACCCCUGCCCCCCCCCUCCUCCUUCCCCAGUACCCCAUGGUCCAUUGCAGCCUGCUGGGCUCUGGUGCAGGAUGUGGCCCCCAGUGCUGCUAUCUCUAUUGCACCCAGUGCAGGGGGAUGUGUGUGGGGGGGGGGGGGGGGGAGAGGGGGGGCAGAGCGAGGUGCUGAGCGCCAUGCAGAGGGGUGCAGGAGGCUGCGGGGUGACGUGGGAACUGGGUCACUGCUGUCACCGGGGCACGUGGCUGCUGCGUUCGGAGGUGGUGUGUAUGGGGGGGGGGGGGGGGGGGCGGGCUGCACACCGUCCUCCUGGGAUGGGGGGGGGUUGUUCCUGAGGCCGUAGGGCUGAGGGGGCUCCCGGGGUUCCGCUCCCCUCUGUGCUAUGGGUGCUGAUCCUGCCGGGUGCGGGGAGCCACUUGGCAGGAGAUGUUUUUGCUCAGCGCGGCCGUUCCCAUAAACAAAGGGAAAUUACCAAAUUACCCCCUGACAGCUCCGGGAGCUGCUCGGCUCGUGCCUGACGGAUACCAACGGGCCGUGGUGGGAUGGGGAGAGCCGUGCAGGAACGUGGGCACGGGGCUGGGGUGGGCGCGUGGGCACGGGGGUGCACGCGUCCCCAGUGCAGAGCUAUGCGUGGCUGCAGGGAUGUGCGCUGCCCCUCAUCCCGUGGGGCUCAGCAGCGCUGCACCAUACGACCUCGAGUCAUGGGCUGGGAGGUGACAUGCCAGCCUGGGUGUCACCAUCCCCAUCCCGUGCCCUGCGUGAGCUGCACGCGAUGCUUUUGCUGGCGGUGUGUCCUGCGAGCAUCGCUCCGUGCUCAGCUGCGCUGCCGCCUGGGGGGCUCUACUGUGCCCCCCUCCCCACUGUGCCUCCAUCCCUGUGGUGAGUGCUGUGAAGGCGCCGGUGCCGGAGCUCAGUGCAGAGCCGUGCUGCAGUGCUGGCCGCGCUCGCAGCCUCAGGUUUUUAAUUAAAGCUGCCAGCUUGGACGUGGUUUUCCAGCGGGCUGAGCCGCGCCGUGGCCGGGCUGUGGGCGCAGCCGUGCAGUGGGGCUCCGUCGUUGUGUUUUGGGGGGCUGUUUUGGGGGUGCGGGCUGUGAUGCUGCGUGGUGCUCGGCCUCUCCUCCUGCUUAAUCCGUGGUGGGGUAUAUGUGGGAGGUUUAUUUGUUGCUCCCAUCAUCCCAAGGCGCUGGGUGGCUCUGGGUACCUCCUGCCCAUCCCCGGCACCCCUGAAGCUCCAGGCCUCGGCAACGGCCCCCUAAAGAACCAAGCUGGGGUUUGGUUCCCUUUAAUGCGAUGGGAUGGAGAGGGAGAAGGAUUGUCUGGAGCGGAGGAGACUCCCAGUGGGGCUGGAUUGUGCUAACGGGAUUUUACUCCCUAUUUAAUUACAAUUUUGUCAAAUGACAGAAAAAAAAAAAGAAAAAAGAGAGAUCCUUCUCAUCUCUUUGCGCAGCUCCCAGGAGCGGCAGCCCUUAAUUACGCAGCAGGUGGCAGCCGCCACCAGUCCCCAAAGGGGGUCCCAGCCCCACGGUGGGACUCAGGGUCUGCCUGUCUCCGCUCUGUCCCAUUGCCUCCCAGUACGGUUUGGGGGCCCUGGGCUGGCGCCGGGGCUGACAGCGGCCGUGGAUGCGGCGUGCUGAUGUGCCGUGGCUAAUCCUCAGCUCUUCCCCUUGUAAUCCUGCCCACGGGGAUAAUCCCAUCAAACCCGGCAGCGGAGCUCAGGGCCGGGUGCGCCCGUAUCGCCCAUAGCACCGCGUUUGGUGCCGAAUGGAUCCUGGGGUGGUGGUGGUCCCCGGGGGAGCAGCUGAGAGCGGUGGGUAUGGCAGCGGUGGGGGUGUGCAGAGCAGGGAGUGACCAUUGUGCUUGGAUGGGGAAACUGAGGCACGGAGCAGCAGCACUGAGCGAUACGGGGACGGUGACAUCCAACUCCGGUGCCAAACGCAGCACCGGGGGAAAGGGAGAGCUGGGGAAGGGCACGGGGUGCUGCUCCCACAGUGAGCCCCAGUGAGGUCGGGUGCAGCUCAGGUUUGGGUGGCGGGGCAGAGCUCUGUCCCAUUUGUCACCUCCCAGCAGGGGAGGUUGGGGAGCGCUCCGAAGGUGAUGGGGAAGGCUGGGAUGGGAAUUGUUCCCUGUGCAGCGUGGGCUGGUCCUGUCCCGGCAGCAGGUAGGGAGUGCUGCGCUGCAAAUAACCCGGCAGCUGCCCGGCACCUGCUGUGCCAUACCCUUCAUUUCACCUUUUGGAGUUAUCUCAGUGGUGUGAGGUCAGCGCUGGGAAUAGCCCCAUGGCUGCUGGUGGCUGAGGGCCGUCCCACAGAGCUGAGCCAGGAUCCUGAGGUGCAUGGGGUGUGUGUGUGGGGGGGGGGGAUGCAUCUGAUCCACCGCAGCCCCCCCUCCCCAGAACGAUGCUCGUUUCAGAGCCAUUGGUCAGAGCACGCACACACACAGGAGCAUUGCGUGCCCCCCCAUAACUUGCACACACAUUCAUGCACCCACAUAUUCAUGCACACACACAAGCACAUGUCUGCAUGUACCCACACACGCAUGUGCAUGCGGCCAUGUACAUGCACACACAUGUGCACAUGCAUGCAUGCAUGCACACACCCUGCUCAUGCAUGCACACAUGUGUGUGCACAAAGACGCACGUACACAUGCGUGCAGCUGCGCAUGCAUGCACGUUUGCACGCACACGUGUGCAUGCACAUACCUGUGUGUACACGCACCUACACGCACACACAUGGUAGCACCACACGCCCACUUACACCAUGUGCAUCCCCCCGCGUGCCCAGCACACCACCCACACCCGUGCACGCGCAGAGGCCCUGUGUGCAAACACCCCCCCCCCCCCCGCUGCUGUGCACACGGCUCCUGCUGCCCAUCACAUGCACGCGCACUGACACCUGCGUGCAAGCAGCAGCCUGCUGUGCACACACCAGUGCUCACACCCCAACACCUGCACAUACACACACACACGUGUGACAGCAGUGCACGCACAGACACCUGCACAGACCCCACACCACCUCCCCAGCCCUUUGAAAGCCCCUCAAAGCUCCCUCUGCUUUUGAACAGUUCCUCCCCCGGAAGCACGAAUCAAUACUCUUCCCCCCCCCCCCCCCCCCCCCCUUCUCUGCUUGCUCCUGGGCCCUUAGCAACACAUCUGCCUCCAAGUGCACAUCUGCUCUGCACCGGGGAGGGGACAGGGACCCCAUAUCCCAAGGUGGGGGCUGGGGGGCUCUGUCACCUCCCAGCUGGGAGCAUUGCAGCAGGGCUCGUGCAGCCCCCACUGCCCACCCGUUGGGUGAUGGCACCGACAGAGGUGUCCUCAAAUCCAGCUUUAGGGUGGAGAGCUCUUCUCCUUCCCCCAUCCCCACCCACCGUGGCAGCAGAACAAGGCACUAUUUCGGGGCAGUGAGGAAGCACCUGACCUUCCGGCGAGCGCACAGGCGGGGGCACAGAGUGCAAACAAUGGCCCUUUGUUCCCCACCAGCAACAUCCUGCAGCCCCCAGCCCGGCUGCAGCUCCGCUAUGGUGCAUCCCACAUCAUGGGGAUGGGGCUGUCCUGGUGUAUGUGGGGGCUCAGUCACAUGGAAUGGGUCAGGGCUACACAUGGUGGCUCCCAGCUCUCCCCCCUCCUUGGCUGCCGUCCGGCGGUUCAUUCAGCUGAUGGAGAUGGUGAUAGGAAAUGCAGAAGUGGGAUGGAGCCGGGUCAUAGCAGCGAGUCUGCAGCCUGCCAGGAGGAGGAGGAAGAGGAGGAGGUGGUGGCCAUGUGAAGGCUGCGCUUGCACAGCACUGCCCACACCUUGGUUGCAGCAGGUGCAUGCAUUCCUCCUGGGGAGCUGAGCUGAGCUGAGCUCUGCCAUUCUGGGCUGUGCUGUGCCAUUCUGGACUGUGCCAUUCUGGGCUGUGCUGUGCCAUUCUGGGCUGUGCUGAGCUGUGCUGUGCCAUUCUAUGCCAUGUUGUGCCAUUCUGAGCUGUGCUGUGCCGUUCUGAGCUGUGCUGUGCCGUGCUGUGCCAUUCUGCACCAUGCUGAGCUGUGCUGUGCCAUUCUAUGCCAUGUUGUGCCAUUCUGAGCCAAGCUGAGCUGUGUCAUGGCAGAGCCGUGCCGUGCCAUUCUGUGCUGAACCGUGCCGUUCUGAGCUGUGCUGUGCCAUGUGGAGCCACGCUGGCCUGAACUGUGCCAUUCUGAGCUGAACCACAUCAUUCUGAGCAGAACCAUGCCAUUCUGAGCCAUUCAGAGCUAUGCUGUGCCAUUUGGAGCUGUGUAAAGCUGUGUCAGGCCAUGCCAUGCCAUUCUGUGCCACCGUAAGCUGUGCCGUGCCAUUCUGGGCCAUGGUAAGCCAUGCCAUGCCAUUCUGAGCUGUGGUAAGCUGUGUCAUGCCAGUCUGAGUCAUGCUGACCUGUGUCAUGCCAUUCUGAGCCAUGGUAAGCUGUGCCCUGCCAUUCUGAGUCAUGCAGUGCCAUUCCAUGCCAUUCUGAGCCAUGGUAAGCUGUGCCAUGCCAUUCUGAGUCAUGCUGAGCAGUGCCCUCCUGUUCUGAGCCAUGGUAAGCCAUGCCAUGCCAUUCUGAGCCAUGGUAACCCAUGCCAUGCCAUUUUGAGCCAUGCUGAGCUGUGCCCUGCCAUUCUGAGCCAUGGUAAGCCAUGCCAUGCUGUUCUGAGCCAUGGUAAGCUGUGCCAUGCCAUUCUGAGUCAUGCAGUGCCAUUCCAUGCCAUUCUGAGCCAGGGUAAGCUGUGCCCUGCCAUUCUGAGCCACGGUAAGCCAUGCCAUGCUGUUCUGAGCCAUGGUGAGCAGUGCCAUGCCAUUCUGAGCCAUGGUAAGCUGUGCCAUGCCAUUCUGAGCCAUGCGGUGCCAUUCCAUGCCAUGCCUCAGGGCAGAGAGAUGAGGAGGGGGGAUGUGAAACGAAGACCCACAUGGGGAUCUGGGGGUCACCACCACCUCAAGGUGACUGCGUGGGUAGGCACUGCGGUCCCUUUGCCCUCCCUCCCCACGCUGACCCCGGGCACACAGCGGAUAUUUCAUCUUAUUUGACUCCAGAUCAGUUUGUUGAAGCAUAGAAAUUUCAAACCGAGGCGCUGGGUGCCCGAGCUUGGAGCAAUUAAAGGUAACAUUUUCCCAAGCAGAGCGAAGCAGCCGAGCGCAUCCCGGCACCACGGAGAUGCGGGGGAGACUAAAGAGGAAAUCAAAACAACAACAAUAAAUAAACUUUUCUUAAGGCUUAAAGAAAAAUGAGACAGCGGAUGGGCUGAGCUGCCCCCCCACCCCCAUCCCCCACCUCCUCCUGUCCUGCCGGGACCUGCAGGUUUGCUGCUUUCUCGUGGCUGGGGUGACUUUUGUUGCUGCUUUGUUUUUGUAGGGUUGCUCUUAAACAUUGUGUUUACAUCCCCCAAAGCAGCGCUGUGGGGUGGCCUCGUCACGGUAGGGCUGUGCUUUGUUGGUGUAGGGUUGGCACCUGGAGCAGUUGGUGGGAACAGAGGGGUUAUUGUAGGGAUGCUGCUUGGUGCUGGGGUUAAACGUGGGGUUGGUAUUGUAGGGUGCCCACUUAGAGCUGGGGUUAAACAUGGGGUUAUUAUGGUAGGGUGCCCUCUUGGAACUGGAUCCUAACACAUGGGGUUGGUAUUGUAGGGUGCCCACUUAGAGCUGGGGUUAAACAUGGGGUUAUUAUGGUAGGGUACCCACUUGGAGCUGGAUCCAAACACAUGGGGUGGGUAUUGUAGGGUGCCCAGUUGGAGCUGGGGUUAAACAUGGGUAUGUUAUUGUAGGGUACCCACUUGGAGCUGGAUCCUAACACAUGGGGUUGGUAUUGUAGGGUGUCCAUUUGGAGCUGGGUCCUGACACGUGGAUGUGUUAUUGUGGGGUGCCCACUUGGAGCUGGGGUUAAACAUGGGUUUGGUAUUUUAGGGUGCCCGUUCAGCUCUGAGGCUCUGCAUGCUGGUUGCCAUGGGGUCCCAUUGCCAAAGGCAGAUCCCAUCCCCAGGUUGCACUUCUCCAUGGUCACGGGGCCACCAGGCUGGGGGCAGUGG
RNAcentral lists this long non-coding RNA (7227 nucleotides) under Gallus gallus (chicken). RNAcentral describes it as "lncRNA (ENSGALG00010028711.1)". Lineage: Eukaryota; Metazoa; Chordata; Aves; Galliformes; Phasianidae. The record is from RNAcentral.